AUGGCAAUUGACGUGAAGAGAGAAUGACGAGAAAGAAAGAUUAUCCAGUAAGACAGAGUAAGAAAUAAAUAAUGGACAACGGUGAGGUGGCAGAUGUAGAUGACUGAGAAUGGCAACACUAUCCUCUAGGUUCUAAUAAUUUAAUAUUCACUUCUUUCUACAGUAUACUUAAGGAAUGAUGGUGAGAGAGAAAAGAAAUAGAGUUGGUGAGGUGAUGAAUGGAGUGGUGUGGACGAGUGUCUGGAUGAGAAAGAAGAAGAAUGAGUGUACAUCAUGGUACAGUGUAAGAACUGUACCAUGGAGAGACAACUAUACAUGCAGACGGCCUACAGUUGGUAUCCUGCAG
This is a long non-coding RNA of Hypomesus transpacificus, 346 nucleotides long. RefSeq lists it as uncharacterized. The transcript is spliced from 3 exons. NCBI's taxonomy places the organism in Eukaryota, Metazoa, Chordata, Actinopteri, Osmeriformes, Osmeridae. The record is from RefSeq and is a predicted model, not a curated record.